GAGUUUGAUCAUGGCUCAGGAUGAACGCUGGCGGCGUGCCUAAUACAUGCAAGUCGAGCGAACGGACGAGAAGCUUGCUUCUCUGAUGUUAGCGGCGGACGGGUGAGUAACACGUGGAUAACCUACCUAUAAGACUGGGAUAACUUCGGGAAACCGGAGCUAAUACCGGAUAAUAUUUUGAACCGCAUGGUUCAAAAGUGAAAGACGGUCUUGCUGUCACUUAUAGAUGGAUCCGCGCUGCAUUAGCUAGUUGGUAAGGUAACGGCUUACCAAGGCAACGAUGCAUAGCCGACCUGAGAGGGUGAUCGGCCACACUGGAACUGAGACACGGUCCAGACUCCUACGGGAGGCAGCAGUAGGGAAUCUUCCGCAAUGGGCGAAAGCCUGACGGAGCAACGCCGCGUGAGUGAUGAAGGUCUUCGGAUCGUAAAACUCUGUUAUUAGGGAAGAACAUAUGUGUAAGUAACUGUGCACAUCUUGACGGUACCUAAUCAGAAGCCACGGCU
This 506-nucleotide ribosomal RNA is filed under the name uncultured microorganism. RNAcentral's name for it is "bacterial SSU rRNA". It matches the Rfam family "Bacterial small subunit ribosomal RNA", at positions 9 to 498 of the family's 1533-position model. The record is from RNAcentral.